GAUCAUUACAGAGUUCAUGCCCUCACGGGUAGACCUCCCACCCUUGCCAUCUCAUACCAGUCUUCUAUUUUGGCAGGCUGCUGACUCCGGUCAGCGAAUGCCAGAAGAACCAAACUCAUGAUUUACAAUGCUGUCUGAGUCAUUAUUCAAUAAAACAAAACUUUCAACAACGGAUCUCUUGGUUCUGGCAUCGAUGAAGAACGCAGCGAAAUGCGAUAAGUAAUGUGAAUUGCAGAAUUUAGUGAAUCAUCGAAUCUUUGAACGCACAUUGCACCCCUUGGCAUUCCGAGGGGUAUGCCUGUCCGAACGUCAUUAUCACCACUCAAGCCUGGCUUGGUGUUAGGGCUCCGCGGUCUCCUUCGCGGCCCUCAAAUGCAGUGGUAGUGCUGUCUCGAGCCCUAAGCGUAGUAACUUACCCUCGCUACAGGACCGGGCAGCGUCUGCUAGACAACCCCAACUUUUCAAAGGUUGACUUCGGAUCAGGUAGGGAUACCCGCUGAACUUAAGCAUAUCAAUAAGCGGAGGAAAAGAAACCAACAGGGAUUGCCUUAGUAACGGCGAGUGAAGCGGCAACAGCUCAAAUUUGAAAUCUGGCUUCGGCCCGAGUUGUAAUUUGUAGAAGAUGCUUCGGGUGUGGUCCCGGCCUAAGUUCUUUGGAACAGGACGUCACAGAGGGUGAGAAUCCCGUAUGUGGUUGGUGGCCGCAUCCAUGUGAAGCUCUUUCAACGAGUCGAGUUGUUUGGGAAUGCAGCUCUAAAUGGGUGGUAAAUUUCAUCUAAAGCUAAAUAUUGGCCAGAGACCGAUAGCGCACAAGUAGAGUGAUCGAAAGAUGAAAAGCACUUUGGAAAGAGAGUUAAACAGUACGUGAAAUUGUUGAAAGGGAAGCGCUUGCAACCAGACUUGCACGUAGUUGAUCAUCUGAGGUUCUCCUCAGUGCACUCGGCUGCGUUCAGGCCAGCAUCAGUUUGGGUGGUUGGAUAAAGUCAGAAGGAACGUGGCUCUUCGGAGUGUUAUAGCCUUCUGUAAUACAGCCUACCUGGACUGAGGAUCGCGCUCUG
RNAcentral lists this ribosomal RNA (1058 nucleotides) under uncultured fungus. RNAcentral's name for it is "eukaryotic LSU rRNA". The stretch from base 470 to 1058 matches the Rfam family "Eukaryotic large subunit ribosomal RNA", at positions 1 to 604 of the family's 3401-position model. Lineage: Eukaryota; Fungi. The record is from RNAcentral.